Molecule: ribosomal RNA, 253 nt
Filed under: uncultured bacterium
Lineage: Bacteria
Description: partial 16S ribosomal RNA
Rfam family: Bacterial small subunit ribosomal RNA
Source: RNAcentral
UACGUAGGCAGCGAGCGUUGUUCGGAAUUACUGGGCGUAAAGCGCGCGCAGGCGGUUCUCCAAGUCAGUGGUGAAAGCCCGGAGCUCAACUCCGGAACUGCCAUUGAAACUGUUUAGCUUGAGGACGAGAGAGGUGAGUGGAAUUCCCAGUGUAGAGGUGAAAUUCGUAGAUAUUGGGAAGAACACCGGUGGCGAAGGCGGCUCACUGGCUCGUUUCUGACGCUCAGGCGCGACAGCGUGGGGAUCAAACAGG